AUGUUAUUUUAUUAUUUAUUUUAUUUUUAUCUAUCUAUUUUCUCUUGGCAUCAAGAUCCCACGCAAAUCUUCUCCUGGUGGGGAAAAAAAAAUGGGGGAAAGAAUGCUCGGAUCGGCCCAAGGCGAAGGGCAGGAACACGAGGUCGGCCGUUAAAUCGAACUGUCGAAAGUCGCAGCCGAGAGCCGCGUUCGCACCUAGCGCCGGGGGCGGAAAAACGAGAGAGAGAGAGAGAGAGAGAGAGAGAGAAAAAAAUCGUGAUACACGCAAGAAAAAAGAAGAAAAAUAGAGACAAUUAUUUUCCACCUCUUUUUAUACAUCGAUUUUUGGGGGUUUUAGGACGCCGCGACGGCUUCGAGAUGUCGAAUAAGGCUUUUCCGUACUCUGGAUCCCGAGGACGGUCCCGGUCACGUAACCCCCAAAUAUGGCAUUUUCCCCCGCCCCCAAAAAAACAAUCCCGAAAAUUAGAUUUGGACGUAGCUCCUCAAAACCCCUACGAGCUUCUGGAUUUGCCCAAUCUGCCGUCAUCGUCUUUGUGCACACGCGUCCCCCAACACCUUGAAAACGUGUGAAUUUAGGUGCGAGCAGCAGCGCUCGUCUCGGAGCAGCGCGAGGUCCUGGCUGUCGGGUUUUUUUU
RNAcentral lists this long non-coding RNA (635 nucleotides) under Apteryx haastii (Great spotted kiwi). RNAcentral describes it as "lncRNA (ENSAHAG00000002852.1)". Lineage: Eukaryota; Metazoa; Chordata; Aves; Apterygiformes; Apterygidae. The record is from RNAcentral.